This is a long non-coding RNA of Hippocampus comes (tiger tail seahorse), 97 nucleotides long. RefSeq lists it as uncharacterized. The record is from RefSeq and is a predicted model, not a curated record. NCBI's taxonomy places the organism in Eukaryota, Metazoa, Chordata, Actinopteri, Syngnathiformes, Syngnathidae. The transcript is spliced from 3 exons.
AGCUCAUUUUCAAGUGCAACAGCAAGGUGCUUCUUCAUUACGACUGGACAGUCUUUACCUUCGGUCUCGCCUUCCUCUGAGGAGAUGAGUAUGGUCC